CGGACGGGUGAGUAAUGUCUGGGAAACUGCCUGAUGGAGGGGGAUAACUACUGGAAACGGUAGCUAAUACCGCAUAACGUCGCAAGACCAAAGAGGGGGACCUUCGGGCCUCUUGCCAUCGGAUGUGCCCAGAUGGGAUUAGCUAGUAGGUGGGGUAACGGCUCACCUAGGCGACGAUCCCUAGCUGGUCUGAGAGGAUGACCAGCCACACUGGAACUGAGACACGGUCCAGACUCCUACGGGAGGCAGCAGUGGGGAAUAUUGCACAAUGGGCGCAAGCCUGAUGCAGCCAUGCCGCGUGUAUGAAGAAGGCCUUCGGGUUGUAAAGUACUUUCAGCGGGGAGGAAGGCGAUAAGGUUAAUAACCUUGUCGAUUGACGUUACCCGCAGAAGAAGCACCGGCUAACUCCGUGCCAGCAGCCGCGGUAAUACGGAGGGUGCAAGCGUUAAUCGGAAUUACUGGGCGUAAAGCGCACGCAGGCGGUCUGUCAAGUCGGAUGUGAAAUCCCCGGGCUCAACCUGGGAACUGCAUUCGAAACUGGCAGGCUAGAGUCUUGUAGAGGGGGGUAGAAUUCCAGGUGUAGCGGUGAAAUGCGUAGAGAUCUGGAGGAAUACCGGUGGCGAAGGCGGCCCCCUGGACAAAGACUGACGCUCAGGUGCGAAAGCGUGGGGAGCAAACAGGAUUACAUACCCUGGUAGUCCACGCCGUAAACGAUGUCGACUUGGAGGUUGUGCCCUUGAAGCGUGCCUUCCGGAGCUAACGCGUUAAGUCGACCGCCUGGGGAGUACGGCCGCAAGGUUAAAACUCAAAUGAAUUGACGGGGGCCCCCACAAGCGGUGGAGCAUGUGGUUUAAUUCGAUGCAACGCGAAGAACCUUACCUACUCUUGACAUCCAGAGAACUUUCCAGAGAUGGAUUGGUGCCUUCGGGAACUCUGAGACAGGUGCUGCAUGGCUGUCGUCAGCUCGUGUUGUGAAAUGUUGGGUUAAGUCCCGCAACGAGCGCAACCCUUAUCCUUUGUUGCCAGCGGUUAGGCCGGGAACUCAAAGGAGACUGCCAGUGAUAAACUGGAGGAAGGUGGGGAUGACGUCAAGUCAUCAUGGCCCUUACGAGUAGGGCUACACACGUGCUACAAUGGCGCAUACAAAGAGAAGCGACCUCGCGAGAGCAAGCGGACCUCAUAAAGUGCGUCGUAGUCCGGAUUGGAGUCUGCAACUCGACUCCAUGAAGUCGGAAUCGCUAGUAAUCGUGGAUCAGAAUGCCACGGUGAAUACGUUCCCGGGCCUUGUACACACCGCCCGUCACAC
This 1306-nucleotide ribosomal RNA is filed under the name Enterobacter cloacae. RNAcentral describes it as "bacterial SSU rRNA". It matches the Rfam family "Bacterial small subunit ribosomal RNA", at positions 99 to 1402 of the family's 1533-position model. The record is from RNAcentral. Lineage: Bacteria; Pseudomonadati; Pseudomonadota; Gammaproteobacteria; Enterobacterales; Enterobacteriaceae.